This is a small nucleolar RNA of 82 nucleotides. Its record names the gene SNORD116. It matches the Rfam family "Small nucleolar RNA SNORD116". From Rfam's summary of the family: HBII-85 is a member of the C/D class of snoRNAs, which contain the C (UGAUGA) and D (CUGA) box motifs. HBII-85 is encoded in a tandemly repeated array with another C/D snoRNA, HBII-52, in the Prader-Willi syndrome (PWS) region of chromosome 15. The record is from Ensembl.
GGAUUGAUGAUGACUUCAAAAAUGGAUCUCACUGGAAUCUGAACAAACUGAGUGACAAAAUCACUCAUGUGAACUGAAGUCC